This 468-nucleotide ribosomal RNA is filed under the name uncultured bacterium. RNAcentral describes it as "partial 16S ribosomal RNA". It matches the Rfam family "Bacterial small subunit ribosomal RNA", at positions 28 to 507 of the family's 1533-position model. The record is from RNAcentral.
GACGAACGCUGGCGGCGUGCUUAACACAUGCAAGUCGAACGGAAAGGCCCUGCUUUUGUGGGGUGCUCGAGUGGCGAACGGGUGAGUAACACGUGAGUAACCUGCCCUUGACUUUGGGAUAACUUCAGGAAACUGGGGCUAAUACCGGAUAGGAGCUCCUGCUGCAUGGUGGGGGUUGGAAAGUUUCGGCGGUUGGGGAUGGACUCGCGGCUUAUCAGCUUGUUGGUGGGGUAGUGGCUUACCAAGGUUUUGACGGGUAGCCGGCCUGAGAGGGUGACCGGCCACAUUGGGACUGAGAUACGGCCCAGACUCCUACGGGCGGCAGCAGUGGGGAAUAUUGCACAAUGGGCGGAAGCCUGAUGCAGCAACGCCGCGUGCGGGAUGCCGGCCUUCGGGUUGUAAACCGCUUUCGCCUGUGACGAAGCGUGAGUGACGGUAAUGGGUAAAGAAGCACCGGCUAACUACGUG